RNAcentral lists this small RNA (50 nucleotides) under Ictidomys tridecemlineatus (thirteen-lined ground squirrel). Its description in RNAcentral is "7SK RNA (ENSSTOG00000018643.1)". Lineage: Eukaryota; Metazoa; Chordata; Mammalia; Rodentia; Sciuridae. The record is from RNAcentral.
CAUCUGUCACCCAUUGAUCACCAGGGCUGAUCUGGCUGGUGAGGCAGGUG